RNAcentral lists this ribosomal RNA (318 nucleotides) under Triticum aestivum (bread wheat). RNAcentral's name for it is "partial small subunit ribosomal RNA". The record is from RNAcentral. Lineage: Eukaryota; Viridiplantae; Streptophyta; Magnoliopsida; Poales; Poaceae.
AUGGCGACGCCUCUUCUCCCCGGCCUCCCAGAUGAGAUCGUCACCUGGGAGAUCCUCGUCCUCCUGCCCCCCAAAUCCCUCCUCCGCUGCCGCGCCGUCCGCCGUGCCUGGCGCUCCGCCACCUCCACCCGCCGCUUCCUCCUCGCCCACCACGCGCCCGCCAGCCCAACCUCCCCGUUUUCACCAGCGACCACUGCCGUGAUAUCCUCGCCUUCGACCACCGCUCCGCCGCCGACGCCCAGCUCCAUUCCGUCGCCCGGCUUGACGGGGACUUCUGGAGGCCUCCUGCGACGGCCUCCUCCUCCUCUCCAAGGUUGA